Long non-coding RNA from Mobula hypostoma (lesser devil ray), 402 nucleotides. RefSeq lists it as uncharacterized. NCBI's taxonomy places the organism in Eukaryota, Metazoa, Chordata, Chondrichthyes, Myliobatiformes, Myliobatidae. The record is from RefSeq and is a predicted model, not a curated record. The transcript has 3 exons.
UGGGGCUUUUGUUCGAGAGGCGAUGGAGAGAGAAGACGCUGGGGAGAACCGGUCGUAGCAUACGUAAUGGUGGGAGACCCGUUUGUUCGAGUCAGGAUCCUCAGAGCAUAAGAAGGAUACCCCUGAAGAUACCAUUUUUUCUGAUGACAGAAGAUUUUUGCUGUCACUUUCCACCAAGGAGAAGUAAACUGGAACCGUCCUACCACUUUAUACCCAUUCUCUCACAGGAAAUGAAAACUUUUAAAAUUCUGAUUACUGCGUGAUAAUCAUCCCUAAAGAAGAUGGCAGAGUUGGCAUUGAACCGUCGGUUAAGAUCGAUACCUGUACCCGGCUGGAAGCCUGAGACGAGUUUAUUCAAUAAUUCAUCACAUUGUACAUUAUUUAAUUUGUAUUUGUAUUUAA